CCAGACUCCUACGGGAGGCAGCAGUGGGGAAUAUUGCACAAUGGGGGGAACCCUGAUGCAGCGACGCCGCGUGGGUGAAGGAGUAUUUCGGUAUGUAAAGCCCUAUCAGCAGGGAAGAACAAUGACGGUACCUGACUAAGAAGCCCCGGCUAACUACGUGCCAGCAGCCGCGGUAAUACGUAGGGGGCAAGCGUUAUCCGGAUUUACUGGGUGUAAAGGGGGCGCAGACGGCGAUGCAAGCCAGGAGUGAAAGCCCGGGGCCCAACCCCGGGACUGCUCUUGGAACUGCGUGGCUGGAGUGCAGGAGGGGCAGGCGGAAUUCCUGGUGUAGCGGUGAAAUGCGUAGAUAUCAGGAGGAACACCGGUGGCGAAGGCGGCCUGCUGGACUGCAACUGACGUUGAGGCCCGAAAGCGUGGGGAGCAAACAGGAUUAGAUACCCUUGUAGA
RNAcentral lists this ribosomal RNA (447 nucleotides) under uncultured bacterium. Its description in RNAcentral is "bacterial SSU rRNA". It matches the Rfam family "Bacterial small subunit ribosomal RNA", at positions 331 to 794 of the family's 1533-position model. The record is from RNAcentral.